This 748-nucleotide long non-coding RNA is filed under the name Equus caballus (horse). Its description in RNAcentral is "lncRNA (ENSECAG00000045087.1)". Lineage: Eukaryota; Metazoa; Chordata; Mammalia; Perissodactyla; Equidae. The record is from RNAcentral.
AUUAGAGUUUUUGCUUUAGGGUAUGAACAUGGUCAUACUGGCCCCAUGGAUGCCCAGUUACGUUCCGCAGAGGUGAACAGUGAUGAGUGCAAAGGAAGCCUGGAUUGAAGUUCCUCACUGUGACUCCCUGUGGUCGUAGAGUGACUUUUCUCUGUUUUGACCCCAAGACUCAUUCACAGGAGCUAUGGAGAAUCCUGCUGCAUCUCAGGAAGAGCAGUUGGGCGUCACCUCACCUAUGCAGUCUUUCCAAUCCUUGCAGACCUGGUUAGAUGGCCCUUUUCUGUUUUCCUACAGCACCCUGCCUCACCCCAUUUACCACAGAAUAACAUUGACAUCCACAAAUCAGAUGGAAGUGCCAGUAAUCUUCAAAAUGAAAGAAUGGAGCAUUCUCCAGAAGUGAGCAAACCCAUUUCCCUUCCUCAUGUCUAUCUUUCCUGCACUCAGAAAAAUGCUGACAGUGGAAGUACAAAUAAAAGGUUCAUUCUGAAUUUGGAUAAAUUAUUUGAUCUGUUAUCAAAAGUCCUUCCUUUGCUCCAUGACAAAAUAUGUUCGUACAGCAAUUUCCUUCCAGUUUAAGUUCCUCUAUGAACAAAUGGCCAAAAACUGUGGUCAUUCUAGUGCCGUGUUCAACAUUUACUCCAAAACACUGCCUAAGGAUUGGGUCAGAAGCAUCAUCUGCUUAUGGAAUGAUUUACCCUGCAGAGUCUUUGGAGAGAAAGGAGUGUCUUAGUUUAAUCCAGUAUCAGGC